RNAcentral lists this small RNA (77 nucleotides) under Burkholderia glumae. RNAcentral describes it as "isrK". It matches the Rfam family "isrK Hfq binding RNA". Lineage: Bacteria; Pseudomonadati; Pseudomonadota; Betaproteobacteria; Burkholderiales; Burkholderiaceae. The record is from RNAcentral.
GUCGCUGAGACAACAGCGACCCGGAUUGGCGUCCGGAACAUGCAAAAGGCGGACAACCGCCGCAGCGCGGUUUUUUC